This is a long non-coding RNA of Monomorium pharaonis (pharaoh ant), 781 nucleotides long. RefSeq lists it as uncharacterized. NCBI's taxonomy places the organism in Eukaryota, Metazoa, Arthropoda, Insecta, Hymenoptera, Formicidae. The record is from RefSeq and is a predicted model, not a curated record. The transcript has 2 exons.
GUCUUAUCUACGCGUUCGGGCGUGAUAUGGGCGAUAUAUUAAAAGUUAUUCCUGAAGUGUCCUCGCUGACUGACUCCUAAUACCGUUUGCCGACGAAACGCUAAAGCGGUUAAAGCUACUCAUCCAGUGACUUGCAUCAUCCCCAUUUUCGUCGAUACGCCAGGAUGAUGUCUCUCAUUCAAUACAAUUCAACGUGUACGCCACGUACGACGUACGCGCGAGCGCGUGACGCGUGACACUUUAUCACGGCUGCCAUAUUGACCCGCAUCGCCUCUCUCGGCGAGAAGUUCUCGCUCAUGAUGGACCUGAGUUGCAGGUGAUUCCCGCGAAAAUAGAAACUCGUGACAAUGGUGAAUAGUGAAUCGGAACAGUAUAUAAUAUAAUAUAAUUUUGCGAUUUUGCGAAGUGAUGCUUUACUGCUUAUAUUCAUACAUAAAAUCUAAAAUCUAGAGUGUGAUGCUCUUUUUGUUGUUUUUCUUGAAAUGAACUAUCUGUUCUCAAAGGGCAAUUUAAUUCAGGAAAAAUAACAAUUAAUAUAUAUUCUCUUUCCUGCACACAUACUACAGCCAAAAUAACUUAAAUGUUUUUUUGUAUAAGUUAUAAAUACUCUUGCAGGAGCAUCAUAGACAAUUCCUUUAACUAAAACUUUGUAUAUUUUUUUAUUGUUAAUAAAUCCCAUUUUCCUCAACCGCAAUUUAUUCAGUAAUUAAUGGGUAUAUACUUCAACGACAAAUGGUUUUGUACUAAUAUUAUUAGUAAAAAUAGAAAUUAAAAUAGCCCA